UUUAAGCGCAGCCAUGAGUUUUCCUGUCCAACUAUAAUCGUCUGUCUUAUUUAAAUUUUUUUAUGAUUAGUAUCUUUAUUGUUAUUAGAUGAUAAAAUAUGAAUAGAACUUUAUGCGUGGCUUAUGUUUUUUUAUUUUUUUCAAAAAAAAUCAAAUAAGACGGUCAAUUAAAGUUGAACGCGAAAACUCAUGACUCUGCUUAAA
Molecule: non-coding RNA, 204 nt
Organism: Oryza punctata
Lineage: Eukaryota; Viridiplantae; Streptophyta; Magnoliopsida; Poales; Poaceae
Source: Rfam